RNAcentral lists this non-coding RNA (507 nucleotides) under Drosophila virilis. RNAcentral describes it as "Eukaryotic large subunit ribosomal RNA". It matches the Rfam family "Eukaryotic large subunit ribosomal RNA", at positions 1 to 491 of the family's 3401-position model. The record is from Rfam by way of RNAcentral. Lineage: Eukaryota; Metazoa; Arthropoda; Insecta; Diptera; Drosophilidae.
CUACCUCAACUCAUAUGGGACUACCCCCUGAAUUUAAGCAUAUUAUUUAGGGGAGGAAAAGAAACUAACAAGGAUUUUCUUAGUAGCGGCGAGCGAAAAGAAAUCAGUUCAGCACUAAGUCACUUUGUCUAUAUGGCAAAUGUGAGAUGCACUGUACGGAACAUCAACAUUCUAGUAUGAGAAGUUAACGAUUUUAGUCCUUCUUAAAUGAGGCCAUUUACCCAUAGAGGGUGCCAGGCCCGUAUAACGUUGAAUGAUUACUAUAUGGGUGUUUCCAAAGAGUCGUGUUGCUUGAUAGUGCAUCACUCAGUGGGUGGGAAACUCCAUCUAAAACUAAUUUAACCCUUGAUUACGAUAUUAAAAAAUUAUCGGGAGGGAACGUGGAAAAAACUCUGUAAUAGAUAGUAAAAUAUAUCUUGAACUGUUUUAGGGUAAAGCCCCCUCAACCCAAAAAACCUUAAGGGAAAUCACACCCUGAAAUUAAAUUUUUUAAAAAAAAUUUAAAAA